GUAUAGCCCGGAUCGCAACGGCAUCCUUUUUUGACGAGGAACGAGGAGAAAAAGAUAUAGUGGAGAGCCGGAUUAAGC
This 78-nucleotide small RNA is filed under the name Flavobacteriaceae bacterium 3519-10. RNAcentral's name for it is "Flavo-1 RNA". It matches the Rfam family "Flavo-1 RNA". Lineage: Bacteria; Pseudomonadati; Bacteroidota; Flavobacteriia; Flavobacteriales; Flavobacteriaceae. The record is from Rfam by way of RNAcentral.